GACGAACGCUGGCGGCGUGCCUAAUACAUGCAAGUAGAACGCUGAAGGAGGAGCUUGCUCUUCUGGAUGAGUUGCGAACGGGUGAGUAACGCGUAGGUAACCUGCCUGGUAGCGGGGGAUAACUAUUGGAAACGAUAGCUAAUACCGCAUAACAGUAGAUGUUGCAUGACAUUUGCUUAAAAGGUGCAAUUGCACCACUACCAGAUGGACCUGCGUUGUAUUAGCUAGUUGGUGGGGUAACGGCUCACCAAGGCGACGAUACAUAGCCGACCUGAGAGGGUGAUCGGCCACACUGGGACUGAGACACGGCCCAGACUCCUACGGGAGGUAGCAGUAGGGAAUCUUCGGCAAUGGACGGAAGUCUGACCGAGCAACGCCGCGUGAGUGAAGAAGGUUUUCGGAUCGUAAAGCUCUGUUGUAAGAGAAGAACGAGUGUGAGAGUGGAAAGUUCACACUGUGACGGUAUCUUACCAGAAAGGGACGGCUAACUACGUG
Molecule: ribosomal RNA, 495 nt
Filed under: uncultured bacterium
Lineage: Bacteria
Description: partial 16S ribosomal RNA
Rfam family: Bacterial small subunit ribosomal RNA
Source: RNAcentral